UGUUGAGGCUGUGAAGGGUACUCUUGAUGGACAGCAGGCUGAACUCCAGAUUUACUUUUCUCAAGGUGGACAAGCUGUAGCCAUCGGGCAAUUUAAAGAUCGAAUUACAGGGUCCAACGAUCCAGGUAAUGCAUCUAUCACUAUCUCGCGUAUGCAGCCAGCAGACAGUGGAAUUUACAUCUGCGAUGUUAACAACCCCCCAGACUUUCUCGGCCAAAACCAAGGCGUCCUCAACGUCAGUGUGUUAGUGAAACCUUCUAAGCCCCUUUGUAGCAUUCAAGGAAGACCAGAAACUGGCCACACUAUUUCCCUUUCCUGUCUCUCUGCGCUUGGAACACCUUCCCCUGUGUACUACUGGCAUAAACUUGAGGGAAGAGACAUCGUGCCAGUGAAAGAAAACUUCAACCCAACCACCGGGA
Molecule: small RNA, 419 nt
Filed under: Pan troglodytes (chimpanzee)
Lineage: Eukaryota; Metazoa; Chordata; Mammalia; Primates; Hominidae
Description: processed transcript
Source: RNAcentral